CGAGGCAUUUGUCUGACGGCC
RNAcentral lists this unclassified non-coding RNA (21 nucleotides) under Chlamydomonas reinhardtii. Its description in RNAcentral is "small RNA Cre_1211". The record is from RNAcentral. Lineage: Eukaryota; Viridiplantae; Chlorophyta; Chlorophyceae; Chlamydomonadales; Chlamydomonadaceae.